RNAcentral lists this ribosomal RNA (433 nucleotides) under uncultured bacterium. RNAcentral describes it as "partial 16S ribosomal RNA". It matches the Rfam family "Bacterial small subunit ribosomal RNA", at positions 28 to 507 of the family's 1533-position model. The record is from RNAcentral.
AGCGAACGCUGGCGGCAGGCUUAACACAUGCAAGUCGAGCGGGCCCUUCGGGCUCAGCUGCAGACGUGGGGGUAACACGUGGGAACGUACACUUUGGUUCGGUAUAACGCAGGGAAACUAGCGCUAAGACCGGAUACGCCCUUACGGGGUAAGGCCUCCUGCCGAAGGAUCGGCGCGCGUCUGUUUGGCCGGUUGGUGGGGUACUGGCCGAGCAAGGGGUGGAUCAUUAGCUGGUCUGAGAGGAUGGUCAGCCACACUGGGACUCAGGCACGGCCCAGACUCGGACGGGAGGCAGGAGUGGAGAGUAUUGUACGAGGGGCGCAAGCGUGAUCCAGCCAUGCCGGGUGAGUGAUGAUGGCGGUAGGGUUGUAAAGCUCUUUUGUCCGGGACGAUAAUGACGGUACCGGAAGAAUAAGCCCCGGCUAACUACGUG